This is an RNA transcript of Aethalodelphis obliquidens (Pacific white-sided dolphin), 8867 nucleotides long. It is a transcript of the gene named interleukin 17B, with no coding region annotated. Lineage: Eukaryota; Metazoa; Chordata; Mammalia; Artiodactyla; Delphinidae. The transcript is spliced from 6 exons. The record is from RefSeq and is a predicted model, not a curated record.
CCAGGUUAGGCCACAAGAGGGCACCACCUCCUUCCUGUCUGCGUCACGCUGCCUCCUUGGACACUCCCACAGGAGGCACCUGGUGCAGGACGCUCUGUCAGUAAAAGGAAGUGCAGACGGUCACUGCUGGAAGAGCCUGGGCUUCGACCUGGGGAUCUGUCACCAGAGUUGUCAGGGGGUGCCAAUUCCUUCUGCCCACAGGACAGAGGCCCACGGCAUGCCUGGCAUGUAGGGAUGUAUUUGAAAGUGUUACUACUUUACAGCUGUGUUCAGAAACGGUCUCAACACUGAAAUUCUGGAAGAGGAGUGCAGGAUCUCACACCUACGUGUGUGUGAGCGAAUCAUCCUCACAAGUUUUUACUUUUGGCUGAGGAAUUGCCACAAGCCACUGAACUUGGAAUCAAUCCUGGCUCUGCCUUAUGCUAUGUGAGUGACUGUGGGCUGGUCACUUGACCUCUCUGAACCUCAGGAGCUUUGAGACGAAGGUGAUGCGAGUUAAAGUAGAUUGGUUGAAUCUCAAGCCAGGAUUCUUCUCCAGAUUUGACCUCCCUUCCCUGGACUCCUCAGAAGGACUUGGUUCAGGCCACAGAGACAAGCUUCUGCAGGGAGGCCUGGGUUGAGGUUCACUGCAGCUCUAAGAGCCUGUCCUGCUCUGGUCGCAGUGGGGGCCCAGGCUCCUGAGCCAGGCGCUGAGAAGCACGUGUGAAUAAGGCAUGUCCGCUGCCUGCAAGAAGCUUCCACCUGGUGACUCUUCAAAAAAAAAACAGUAAAACAAAACAUGCACGUGCAAGACCGUAGCCGCAAAUUCGCAGUCACGCAGAUAUACACCAAAACCAGCACAAUAAAAACAGCGCUACCUGAGCCAAUAGCUGAAGCCAAUAGGUAAGUCAGCCUUUGGUAAGUACCAUCCGUUAUUAGCUGUGUUGGGGGAGCAGGCCUUUGAACCCAAGCUGCAGGGGAAGUGUCCCCCCUCCCAGGACUCCUCUCCCAUAAACAGCCAGGAGACACCACCCCCUUUUCCCCUCAUCCUCCACAGCACAAGCUCUUCUUCCUCCGGGGUCUGGGCUCUGGGGGUCUGAAGAGAACAUUUCUCAUGUUGUACCCUUUUCCUGCUUCCGCUGGAGGAUGGGGCUUCCCACCCAAAAUAGAUGCAGACCCACCCAGCAAGAGGAGGGGCUGACAGCUUGUGGGGGAAGAUCAGAACUCUGGAUCUUGUAAGUUCAGACGUCCUGUAAACUCUGACCAGAGUAUAAACAUCCCCCGGGACUGAGGGGAGGAUGUGUUGGUGGGCAGGGGGCCCGGCGCCUCCAUCUGCCCUGGGGACAGGCUGUUUAUUCCACAUCCCUCACGGGCCCCCUUGGGCUCCUUCCUGUCUAGGUCUGGGCAAGUAGAGGCAGGCAGGACAGCCCCACAUGGGGCCUGAGGCCUUGGACGUAAGAUUCGACCUCUCAGGGCUGGAAGGGAACUUUCGAAGCUCGCCAAGCUCAACUCUCUCUUCUUUUUGCAUCUCCCUCACAGCUGGUCUUCUGGCCUCUGCUAAAACACCUUGGCUAAUGGGGAGCUCAGGGCAGUCCAUUCUAUUACUGGCACUCUGGCAGCUGGAAAGUGUUCGAAAAAAGUUGUUCUAGAAUUGUUCAGUGUGAGCUGAUUGAGCACAGCUAAGAAUAAUGUGUACAAUGAGAUAAUAGCAGGGCCAUUCCCCGAGCCCACACUGUGCCAGGUGCUUUAUGUGCAUUAUCCCAUUAAAUUCUCCUUCCUCUCGAGGAGGACACAUAGGCUCAGAAAAGUUAGGCCACCUGCCCAAGGUGACCCAGCAGUUUUGUGGAGGGGCUGGGGUUCAGUUGCUUUAGUUCAGAGUGUGUGCUUUAUAUAUUAGCCUAUACUGGUUUUUCACAAUCCAAAAGCAAAAAUAGCACACGUAACACAAAAACACCGUACAACAAACACAGUCACACACAAACCAACCACAUUACAAUAAAAGUAGCCCAAACUGGCCAAAUCUUAAGUACCCUUUGUAUGCCAGGAAAAUCAUAAUUUUUAUGAUAAGGCCACUUUAACAACCCUAGGAGGAAACUGAGGCUCAUUGAAGUUAGGAAGAAUGGAUGUGGCCACAUUAGAAGGGGCAGAGCACGUGUCCAAGCAUCACUUCUGAAGUCUGCAGUCUCCCUCUACACCAUAGUGCAUGAUAGGAGGGCACUGUAGCAUAACGAAAGAGAAAACUUGUAUCAUUAUUAUUAUUAUGUUCAACAUCGAGAGCUUUAAAAAGCGGGAUGUGCAUCCUCAGAGAUGAAUGAUCUCCCUACACUGGACGUGUCUAGCAAAGAUGCUUUAGAAGAGGUUCCUACACAAGAUAUUCCCCAGCGUCAAUCCGCGACCCAGAGACACAAACUUGGUGUUCUCGAGGCUGGAUGCUGGGUGGCAGGGAGGCCUCGGACACCCAGCCCCAGAGCACAAGCCCACCCAUUGCAGUCCUCCUCAACUCGCAUUUCCUUGACUGCUCCCCUGGGGGAGGAGGUGUUGGCGCCUGGCCUGGGCAGAGGGUCAUGUGGAUGCGGCGGACCCUCUGCACAUCCAGUGGCCGCCCAUUCACCCAGGCCUUGCCCUUUUUGAGAACUGGGAGCUCUCUGGCUGGGUCUGUUCCCACCAACAGCGUUCCCAUCCAGGGAGCUUAAAAUAGUGCCUCUUGGCUGGGGCUCUGGAGUGAGCAGUGAGGGAGGCAUUUGUGCAAAUAUGGGCCUGGGAGAAGGACUCCUACCCCAAGGGGGUGGGGGUGGGGUGGGGUGGGCAGUGCGGCAGGAGAGCCAAGACCUCCAGUGGAGGAUGUGCCCUCCUGGCCACAGCCCCCCUCCAUAUAGCAGUAGAGGCGCCUGCUAGUCUCCUCCUGCCUCCCCGACCUUACUGGGUCCACUUGGGCAAAUCUCUACACCGAAUCCCGCAGGCCUUCCUGGCCCAGCCGAGGCUCCAGGGUGGGCCCACUGGGAACAGGGACCUCUACGUUCUUCUGCUGGUUCUAUCCUUUUCCCCACCUCCUACCUAGGAACACUCUAGAAGCAUCCUUUCGAAGGCCCAACUCAAAAGUUAUUUUUAAUACUUACAGUAACAAUUGCAGCUGCCACUAAUUGAGGGCUUACUUUUGUCAAGCGCUCUGCUAAGUGCUUUAACAUGCAUUGUCUUUGGUCCCAACGACCAUCCACUGAGAGCCAAGUUACCAUUAUCUCCACUGUGCAGAAGAAACUAAGGCUCAGAGAAGUCAAGUAACUUUCCCAAGGUCACACAGCUCUGAAUUGGCAGAGGCAGGAUUAAAACUCAGGUCUGUCAACCUCUGGAGUCUGAACUCUUACCUCCUGAGCUGCACCUCCUCCUCCAGGUCCCCGCUGCUCUGGGCUCCCAUGCUCCAUCCCAGCAUUAUCACCCUGUAUCACAUACAUACGGCUGUUUUGAUUCAAUGCAUCAAGUAUUUAGUGAAUGCCUAGUGUGCCAGGAACAUUGCUGGGUGCCAUGCCCACACCCUGGGAGCUCUCAGAUCCUCUUGGAGGACUCUAGUUUGGGCUUGGGCUCAGUGACCUCCCUGACAUGCAGGAUCUGGUUUGAAGAUGUCAGGGUGAGGUUGAGGCAAGCACAGAUCCUCCUUGAUGAUCAGCUGCCUCCUUCCUGGACAUUCCUGCCUCCUUCCUGGCUGGGAUGCUCCUCUCCUUCCCGCACAGCAGGGAACAGCACGUGCAGGAAUCAGACAAACUUGUGAAUGCUCUGUGACUUUGGGCUCUCUGAGCCUCAGUUUCCCCAUCCAUAGAUUCGGGAUAAAAUUAGGACCUCACCACAAGGUGGUUGGAAGGAUUUAAUAAAACAAUGCACAUGAAGGACUUAGCACAGUGCCUGGUGGUCAGUAAGUAGAAUUGUACAGCAGCUAUUAUUGCUAAUUGUUUCUUUCUGAAAAUUACGGUGUCCAGGUGCCAGAUGCUUAGGGCCUAGCACGUGGUAGGUGCUCCAAGUGAAGGGAAUCACUGACACAGCAGACAGAAGCCCCCAACCCUCCCCACCUCUGCCCCCUCACUCUUGGCUGGUCGUGCUGUUCCUGAUCUGAUGUGGAAGGUGUCCCGGACACUGGUCCUCAUCAACAGUAGGGUUACUUGGGCAGCCGGGGGCAGGCAAAGGACUUUUACUUACCUGGUUCCCUCGUUUUCAGCCCAGGGUCCAUUCUAGGGAAAAGGGGUGGCUGGCACGGAAGUUCUGCCAGGGUUUGCCUGCUCCUUGGAGGUGUCUGGCUUUCUGGUGGCGCCACCUGGUGGUGAGUACAGAACUGCUCCUAGCUGGGCGGCAGCUCACGGACCUGGUGGCUCUGAGUACGACCAUUCCCUGACACUCACCCUCCAGCCCAUCCACCCCUUUCCUCAUUCCCCUGUGCUGACCACCUUCUGUGAGAAAAGACCUAAGGACCCCAACUCUGCUGUGGGGCAGAGACCCCUGAAGCCCAAGUGCCCAUGCCUCCCUCAGGCCUGGCUCUGACCUGAGGGGUAGGGUCUCUACGUGGUUGGCCAGGGUUCACCCUCAGGAUAUCCUUCAGGGCUGAUGACCUCUCACUGGUUUCUAUAAACCAAGGCUGGAAGAAUGGGCCUCCUUCCUGGCCUGAGAUGGCCCAGGAAUGGGAAACCCAGUAAUGGUCCCUGGGCCCAUCCUUGACUCCCCACUGUACCUGCUUGGGUACACACAGAUCCCCCUCCACAUUGAGGGGGCUCUGGGACUCCCAGAGGGACUGGCCUGGCUCCUAGGUUCCCACAUAAGCAGCCAAGAGGCCUAGCCCAGCCCAGAGCUGUAUGUAUAAAGUUUGGAGAAAACUAGUAAGAAUUAGAAGACUGAAUUGUGCUCAGACCAGCCUUACCCCACCUUGCACCCACAUGCUGUGUGAGCUUGGGUAAGACCCGUCCCUCCCUGGGCCUUGGUCUCCUUGUGGUAGAAUGGCGGUGGGGCAGGGAAUGAGCUAGGGGAUGGGUGAGGACCCCUAUAGCUCCCAGACUGGGGCCUUGUUAAGGUGCAAAUUCCUGGGCCCGCCCCAUCAGAACUCUGGGCCCAGGACCCUGGAAUCUACGUGAAGUUGGAAGCUGAGGCGGCCAAGUCCUGUCUUUGGGAGACGGAAGCCAGCAGUGUGUGUCGCCAGCAGGUAAGGAGAGUGUGAUGCUUUCAGGGGUCCUGAGAAGCAGAGGAACCCCCUAGCAGCCCAAUCCCCAUCUUUUAAUUUCUCCACCGUUCUGUGGAUAAAGGGAUGUGUCCCCCCCAGCUGCGUGUCUGUUGGACCCCACCGGCAGCAGCAGCAGAGGGACAGCAAGGAGGCUGCACAGGUUACAGCCAGGUUGCCCCCAUCCUUCGCCCCCUCGUGCUGGCUGUUUCACUUGUUCAAAGGACAGUGGUGGUGGGGCUGGGACAGCCUGGGGUGGGACUGGGGGCCUUGUUACUUGAGGAAGUAUUUUCAGAGUCCCCCUCCCUCUGGAGUUUCCAGUGGUAGAAUAGAGCCCUGUCUAGUAUUUGACCAAAUAUGGUGGUAUCUCUCAUGAGCUCGAGCCUCAGCCAGCUUCUCAGUUAUGCUGUGGAAACCUGCCCCGGACAGAUUAAUCUUGUGACAUUCAGGAGCGCCUUGCACCCUGCGUUCUUCCCUUGGUGAUUCCUGUAAAUGGCCAAGAGUGGCCCUGAGUAGGACGGUGCAGUCCUGGAUGCCUGUUCACGGUGUCCCUCCCCUGUCCUCUUCACACCCCCUUCCACCCCCUCCUCCAUCCCCCGGAUGCCGGCGGGGCGGGGCGGGGGGGGACUUGCUCGCUCACAUUCAGCUGGGCUGCUCACUCAAGGGGAGAGAUCCAGACCAGCAGCGCUGGUCCGUUCAGCCCAUGAUUCCAGGAUGUGUAGACCCUGGGGUCACCUGAGCUCAUGAAAUUGUGGCCAGAGCCUGUGAAGCCCAGAAGUCUCUCAGCCAUGAGGGUGGGCCCGAGGGGAUAGAAAGGAGAGUUGGCUGAGCAAUGAGAACCGUGCUUUGCUCUGAUGCUAACGUUCCCAGUAACAAUUAUACAAUUAUUUUAUAAUGAUAACAUUCAUAAUAAACAGCUGUGUUUAUUGAGCACAUACUACGUGGCACUGUGCCAGUUGUUUAACAUGCGUUCUUUCCCUUACUCCUCGUGGCAGCCCUGAGAGGUGGCUACUAUGACAUCCCCAUCCUAGAGAUGGGGGCACUGAGACUCAGAAAGAUUUCAGGGAGAGAUGGGCCAGGCCACUGUCGAUUCCUGGGUACGACUCCCAUUUUACAGAGAAGGAAACUGAGGCUGAGAGAGAAUGGAAGUCACAAGCAGCCACACAGGGGUAGGCCCUUGGAGUGGAGACCUUCUCUACACGAGGGGGAGCGUUGCAUCCAGAAGGCCAGGACAACCGGCCGUGAAGUCCUCACGAACCCGUGACUUGGCCUGCGUGAGAGCACACAGAUUCAGAAACAUGUUCAUAGCAGGCCAGAAUUGUGCAGAAAAUAUGCCAAGAAAAACAGAGUGGGGUGGUGGAUAAAGCCCCACAUGGGGACCAGAUACGAACCCCAGCUCUGUCAUCUCUCACUCAUUGUAUAAUCCGAGACAAGUCCUUUCUUCACCCUGGCCCCAGUUUCCCCUCCUGUGAACUACCCGUGUACUGGGGCCACGGAGCUCACCUGAGGCUGGCUGAGGCCGGAGUGCCUGAGGCUGUUUCCCUGGGAGAUGGGGCCUGUGUCCCACUCCUGGCUAGCUCUCUCUGAGAACAUUUGAUCUCCUGACCAACGGACAGCCUGUCCCUCCUCCACCCUUGCCCCCUUGCCAUCCCCCAAACUAACGAAGCCGAUUGUCUCAGGCGGCCCUGUGGGUGCUGGCUGGGCGGCCGGCCGCAGGCCACAGGCGGAGGUACCACCCGCCAGAGCCCCAUCAGACACACAGGGCAUUGUCCCUCAGUCAACAGCCCCUGGGCACCUCGUCCCAGCUCCUGGCCUGCCCCCACGCCCCUCACCGCCUGCCACUGCGCCAGGCCCAGCCAGCUGGGGGCCCAAGGCUCCCAGGCGAUGACGAGCCCACCCACCCACUCCCCCGGCAACCCCCUGACGAGCUAUAAUUGCUUCGCGCCGUCCUGUUGCUGCCAUUCUCCUGGCGGAGGCAUCUGGGGUUCCAGGCGGGUGGCAGCUGCAGGCCGAUCGCCUGGCUCGCAGGAUGGACUGGCCACACAACCUGGUACGUGACGAUUCACCACUCCACCCCCAUCCCUUUUUAGGGCCUGGAUGUUUCGUUACUUCUUCUCUAUUGAUUAAUAGCAGCCUCUGUUUGGCUUGGAAUCUGCAGAGGUGAGUUCUCCCUCUGUCCUCUCCCCCAGGACACGAAGGAAACAGAGACAGGUCUCAGAGGCUGCAGCCAUGGCCAGUAGCUCGGCUCCUGAGCUGCGCUCAGCCCCAUGACACUGAAGCCCUUUCAGGCCAAAGGCAUCUGGGGAGAUCUUGGCCAUCUCCGUUAUCGGGGUUUUUCCAAAGAGCCUCUGGGUCCUGAGAUCCAGGCUGUGUGACCCUGGGCAAGUCCUUCUGUUUCUCUGUUUCCCAUCUAUAAAGGGAGAGCCAGAGUUUAAGAACGCCAUGUGAGAAGCUCCGAUGAGAAAGCCUAUUGUUAGGGAGACAUUUUUCUGCAGCAGAAUCUAGGACCAAAAUGGAAGAAUUCAGCCACUUGAAUCUGUCAUGGGUUUUGUGCCAAGAAAUGGUUCUGCCGAGAGGGGCUCUGCCGGAACUUGUUUCUAAGGGUCAAGACUGGCUGGGUAGAUUGGCACGGGCCGUGUGGGUGGUAGGGUGAGGGAUACAGGGCAGGUGGGAGCCUGGCUAGAUUCAACGAGGAGAUGAAAUUCCCCCUAGAGGGUCCUCCCUUCUGACCAGCCCUGGCCCUCACCCAAGUCCUGGCCUUUCUCUCCCGGCUUCCUGAGGAGUCUGUGUUCUGCUGGGCUCCCAGGUCCUCUGCCGUGUGAGUGAGAGGCUUUCCUGAUGCUCCCAGAUGUGGAUGGUCGGCUGAGGGUGGACAAGGGGUCAGGCAGGCAGAGGGUCCGGGUGUGGACGAGGGGAGCAAAGCUGUCAUGGAGGCCAACAGGGAUCCUUGGCCAUGACCUGCCCACCUCCCCAGCUGCAUCUCCCAGCCGCUUCUUUCAGCCUCCUUUCAGCAAAGCUCUUAACCAAUUGAAACUUCAUUUCACACUUUCCUUCCCCCACCCCAUACAAUUUUUAGGCUCCCUCUGCCCAUAUCUGCCUCUGUCUUAUCCUUCAAACCUCACCAGACACGCCCCCUCCCCAGAAAGUCUUUGCAAGACCACCCCACUGCCACAAGGCUAAGCGGGUGGCCCUGCUCUUUUCUAAUCACACGCUGUGUGGUCCCAUCCACACACUGCUGCUAGCGAGGCUUAGGUGCACGUUUUCUUGUUCACCGUCUGUUUUCCUUGCCAGACUGUAAGCGACAGAUGGGCAGGGAUGGUGACAGGCAUUCAUUCACUCAGCAAAUGUUUACUGAAUACCUAAGUGCCCAGUACCGUGCAGACACAGGGGACGAGGCAGUGUGUGGGAACGGAUACGAUGCUGGCCCUCAUGGAGCCUGUGCUAGGUGUGGGCCCAACAUAUGAAAGAAUCACAUGUAUGCACCGUAAGGCUACAGUCACGCAAGAGGCAUCAGGUGUUGAGAGCCCGAGAAGGUCCACAGAGGCCUCCCUAAGGAAGUGGCACUGGAGCCAAGACCUGAAGGCUAUUCCUUCUCACCAUCUCCAUCUUCCUGGGGCUGGGCCAGCCCAGGAACCCCAAAGGCAAGAGGAAGGGGCAAGGGCGGCCUGGGACCCUGGCCCCUGGGCCUCACCAGGUG